UACAGGGGGGGCAAGCGUUGUUCGGAAUUACUGGGCGUAAAGGGCUCGUAGGCGGCCAACUAAGUCCGACGUGAAAUCCCAAAGCUUAACUUUGGAACUGCGUCGGAUACUGGAUGGCUUGAAUUCGGGAGAGGGAUGCAGAAUUCCAGGUGUAGCGGUGAAAUGCGUAGAUAUCUGGAGGAAUACCGGUGGCGAAGGCGGCAUCCUGGACCGACAUUGACGCUGAUGAGCGAAAGCGUGGGGAGCGAACAGG
RNAcentral lists this ribosomal RNA (253 nucleotides) under uncultured bacterium. Its description in RNAcentral is "partial 16S ribosomal RNA". It matches the Rfam family "Bacterial small subunit ribosomal RNA", at positions 524 to 776 of the family's 1533-position model. The record is from RNAcentral.